AGGGUUUGAUUAUGGCUCAGAACGUACGCUGGCGGCACGCCUAACACAUGCAAGUCGAACGAAGUAGCAAUACUUAGUGGCAGACGGGUGAGUAACAUGUAGGUAUCUACCCUUUGGCCUGGAAUAACACGAGGAAACUUGUGCUAAUACCGGAUAAGUCUUUACGGAGAAAGCUUUAUGCACCAUUGGAUGAGCCUGCACUUGAUUAGUUUGUUGGUGGGGUAAUGGCCUACCAAGACUGUGAUCAAUAGCUGAUUUGAGAGGAUGAUCAGCCACAUUGGGACUGAGACACGGCCCAAACUCCUACGGGAGGCAGCAGUGGGGAAUCUUGCACAAUGGAGGAAGCUCUGAUGCAGCGAUGCCGCGUGAGUGAAGAAGGCCCUUGGGUUGUAAAGCUCUUUCGUCGGGGAAGAAAAUGACUGUACCCGAAUAAGAAGGUCCGGCUAACUUCGUGCCAGCAGCCGCGGUAAUACGAAGGGACCUAGCGUAGUUCGGAAUUACUGGGCUUAAAGAGUUCGUAGGUGGUUGAAAAAGUUAGUGGUGAAAUCCCAGAGCUUAACUCUGGAACUGCCAUUAAAACUUUUCAGCUAGAGUAUGAUAGAGGAAAGCAGAAUUUCUAGUGUAGAGGUGAAAUUCGUAGAUAUAGAAAGAAUACCAAUUGCGAAGGCAGCUUUCUGGAUCAUUACUGACACUGAGGAACGAAAGCAUGGGUAGCGAAGAGGAUUAGAUACCCUCGUAGUCCAUGCCGUAAACGAUGUGUGUUAGACGUUGGAAAUUUAUUUUCAGUGUCGCAGCGAAAGCGAUAAACACACCGCCUGGGGAGUACGACCGCAAGGCUAAAACUCAAAUGAAUUGACGGGGACCCGCACAAGUAGUGGAGCAUGUGGUUUAAUUCGAAGAUACGCGCAGAACCUUACCAACACUUGACAUGUUCGUCGCGACUCUAAGAGAUUAGAGUUUUCGGUUCGGCCGGACGAAACACAGGUGCUGCAUGGCUGUCGUCAGCUCGUGUCGUGAGAUGUUGGGUUAAGUCCCGCAACGAGCGCAACCCUCACUUUUAGUUGCCAUCAUUUAGUUGGGCACUCUGAAAGAACUGCCAGUGAUAAGCUGGAGGAAGGUGGGGAUGACGUCAAGUCCUCAUGGCCCUUACGUGUUGGGCUACACACGUGCUACAAUGGUAUCUACAACAGGAAGCAAGACUGCGAGGUCAAGCAAAUCCUUAAAAGAUACCUCAGUUCGGAUUGCACUCUGCAACUCGAGUGCAUGAAGCUGGAAUUACUAGUAAUCGUGGAUCAGCGUGCCACGGUGAAUGCGUUCCCGGGUCUUGUACACACCGCCCGUCACACCAUGGGAGUUGGUUCUACCUUAAGGCAAGGUUUAAAACCCUUGACCACGGUAUAGUCAGCGACUGGGGUGAAGUCGUAACAAGGUAGCC
This 1435-nucleotide ribosomal RNA is filed under the name uncultured Candidatus Pelagibacter sp. RNAcentral describes it as "bacterial SSU rRNA". It matches the Rfam family "Bacterial small subunit ribosomal RNA". Lineage: Bacteria; Pseudomonadati; Pseudomonadota; Alphaproteobacteria; Candidatus Pelagibacterales; Candidatus Pelagibacteraceae. The record is from RNAcentral.